AUGGGACAACUGGCUUCACCCACAACAUCUGAAGAAUCCGACUGCUUUGGAUCCCACAACUGCUUUGCCAUGUGGAGAUGGAUAAUGGGACCCUGUUUCCAUCUUUUCUUUAUCUCUCAGAGAGAGGAAAAUACUUGUGGAUUUUCCCCCAGUAGUGAUGUAGCAGAUACUUGGGGGCAGGGGAGAGUUUCAAGAAUCAAUAUAUGUAGGAAGAGAGUAAGAGAAAGAUUGAGAAAAAGAGAGUAUCACUCUUUCAUCUGGAGAGAUUGCAAGAAUGAAUUCAUCUCUGACUUGCCCACAAAAUCCACAGCUCAGGGGUCAAUGGUAUAUGAGACUCUCCAGCGCUGCCACAAUGGUAUAGUGUUUUCCCAUGCUGGAAAACUGGAAUCGAAGGAAGAGAGUAAGUGAAAGAUUGAGAAAAAGAAAGUAUCACACUUUCAUCUGGAGAGAUUGCAAGAAUGACUUCAUCUCUGACUUGCCCACAAAAUUCACAGCUCAGGGGUUAAUGGUAUAUGAGACUCUCCGGCACUGCCACAAUGGUACAGUGUUUUCCCAUGCUGGAAAACUGGAAUCUAUCCUGCUUGUACAACUGUUACUGUUCAUGUGCUGAUGCACUUCCCUGUCCUCUAUUUAACUCAGCUGGACCAUAGGAGGGCUACAGACAGGAGAUCUCUAGAGGUUUGAGGACAGCUGACAAGAAUCUUUGCAUAUGAGUUUCUGGAUCAAAUACAGAACUAGCCAGUACAGUUAAGCAAACCAACUUCUGUUUAAUCUUGGGAGCUUUAUAAAACAGGAAACUUUGAAGAGUAAAAUGUGUUUAAGAGAUUUUAAUUAAGAAUUAAAUGGGUCAGAGUACAUGGCUGUAUAUAGCAAUGCACAAUGUUCUUGUUGGAGUUUUUACAACACCUAAUAGGUGUGGCUGGGAGGGACCUUGCUCUGCUGUGGUGACUGUCAAUCUAUCCAGCACUAACCAAUUGUUCCUUUCCUGCCUCUGACUUCAAAGAGAGUCCCACCUCUCUGUUAAAUUCCCUUUCCCUCUCUUAAAUCUGUUGAAGUCUGUGGAAAGCAGUGAGUCUGUUUGCUAGUUUGCUGUUUAAUCUGUUCAGAACUGAAAAUAAAUAAAAUGGUUUUUAUUUUUCCUACUAAUAC
This 1149-nucleotide long non-coding RNA is filed under the name Pogona vitticeps (central bearded dragon). RNAcentral's name for it is "lncRNA (ENSPVIG00000023236.1)". The record is from RNAcentral. Lineage: Eukaryota; Metazoa; Chordata; Lepidosauria; Squamata; Agamidae.